CUACGGGAGGCAGCAGUGAGGAAUAUUGGUCAAUGGACGAGAGUCUGAACCAGCCAAGUAGCGUGAAGGAUGACUGCCCUAUGGGUUGUAAACUUCUUUUAUAAGGGAAUAAAGUGAGGGACGUGUCCCUUUUUGUAUGUACCUUAUGAAUAAGGAUCGGCUAACUCCGUGCCAGCAGCCGCGGUAAUACGGAGGAUCCAAGCGUUAUCCGGAUUUAUUGGGUUUAAAGGGAGCGUAGGUUGACAUAUAAGUCAGCUGUGAAAGUUUACGGCUCAACCGUGAAAUUGCAGUUGAUACUGUAUGUCUUGAGUGUACAAGAGGUGGGCGGAAUUCGUGGUGUAGCGGUGAAAUGCUUAGAUAUCACGAAGAACUCCAAUUGCGAAGGCAGCUCACCGGGGUACAACUGACACUGAGGCUCGAAAGCGUGGGUAUCAAACAGGAUUAGAUACCCUGGUAGUCCACACAGUAAACGAUGAAUACUCGCUGUUUGCGA
RNAcentral lists this ribosomal RNA (493 nucleotides) under uncultured bacterium. Its description in RNAcentral is "bacterial SSU rRNA". It matches the Rfam family "Bacterial small subunit ribosomal RNA", at positions 339 to 829 of the family's 1533-position model. The record is from RNAcentral.